UACAGAGGGUGCGAGCGUUAAUCGGAAUUACUGGGCGUAAAGCGCGCGUAGGCGGCUUUGCAAGUCGGAUGUGAAAUCCCCAGGCUUAACCUGGGAACUGCUUCCGAGACUGCAUCGCUAGAGUAUGGGAGAGGGAAGUGGAAUUUCAGGUGUAGCGGUGAAAUGCGUAGAUAUCUGAAGGAACAUCAGUGGCGAAAGCGACUUCCUGGACCAAUACUGACGCUCAUGUGCGAAAGCGUGGGGAGCAAACAGGAUUAGAUACCCCCGUAGUCC
Molecule: ribosomal RNA, 273 nt
Filed under: uncultured bacterium
Lineage: Bacteria
Description: partial 16S ribosomal RNA
Rfam family: Bacterial small subunit ribosomal RNA
Source: RNAcentral